CCCGUAAAAAAAAUUUGCUAAAGAUCUAGAAGAAAUGAAAUAGCUCAGGAAAAAUAGAUUUGCCCGACCAGACCCAUCUUCCCCAAUCUGGACGGCCCCACCUCCCCACGCCGUCGACGUCGCCAACUGCGCCAACCUCCCCACGAUGGUCAUCGCCUAAGAACCCCUCGCCUCUGCUUAUUGCUGGGGCAGUCGCCACUGCUGACGUUCCCCGUCGUCAUCGGCUCCUUCAUGCCCAUCUGCCAUCUCAAGGGCCCCUCGCCCUGCGCUCUACUGGACCUUCAGCGUCGCCGCCCUCAGCCGCCUGCGAGCCUUCGCCAGGUCUCCCCGCGCGCCAGGUCGUCUCUAUGUGCCGCCGCUUGAAGCUCCCCUGCUCGCGGCCCUCACCCACCGCCGCACUGGCCUAUCUGAUUAAUUGACGGUGCCGCCGACGCUGGUUCGUGGGAGUUGAUUACGGCAGCGUACAACCACCACUUCAUAGAGAACAUGGAAGAGGAGAAAGUAAAUGCAAAUGCCCAGCAGGUAGCCGGACCUUGGGACUCCAUCAGCGUCAACAAUGAGUGUAGUAAUCUGUGCAGAAAAACUCCUUUCGCAUAUCAGGUUCAAUCCACACUUCUCUCUGCCAGUCUGAAUGCUCCAUUUUUGUUUGCUAGAGUAUUUGACAUUGACAAUGUACUCCAACUAUUUUAUGAGUUGAACUUGCCAUGAAUUCAAUUCUAUAAAAGAGUUAACCUCAGGAAUUUGUUUAUCAGCCACUAAUACCGCAAAAAACUAUAGAACAAUGUUAUUACUGGUAAUGGAUAGAUGCACUGCAGAAAUAUGAAUAAUUUUGGUCAAAAGAAUGCAGGGCUGCUCUUUCUUAUUAGUUAUCCCUCUCAUGGUUCUUAAUAGAUCCCCUGGAAGCUCUUGAACCUACGGUGGAGUCAGUUCCCCGUCAGUAGGAACUGCUUGCGUUAGGCCAUCAGACUGUUAGUUGUAACCAUGUUAUUCGGUCGAGCUUUUCCAUCCAGCUGUCGAAAUAGUAUCAAAGUAGAAGUUGUUAAACAUGAAACUACCAAGUUAUGUACUCUGCUAUUAUGGUUGUGAUUUGUGAAGCUCGUACAGUCUGCUUGAUGUCUACACCAAAUUUACUUCAGGCAACAGGAUGAUGAGUUAUGGCAAGUCUUCAGGAUGUAGGGCUAAUCAUAGACGAAGAAUUCAUUGGCCAGGAGAGUGUCCGAGAGUAAAUUUUACGAAGCUUAGUCCAUGCGCUGUCCCUCGCCGGUGGCACUCGCGACGGAGGACUCCCUGCAUGGCUCCUCGGCAGCUCGACUACUCUCCGAGAACGGACGGCGGCGGACGCGGCUCACAUCCCCGACGUGGUGGCCGUCGUCUUGACUCCCUUCGAUGAUAGGUGACACCAUCCGCGUGGCACCCGUGGCGCACGCAAGACGACGGCCUUCAACUUGCAGCGCUGCCGCAUGACACGCUCCAGCCCAAGGCAGCUGGCAGUCCCGACGUCAGGCAGAUGGUGCCCCCGAAGCGGAGCCACAACUAACUACAACAACAAGGAUCCUCAAGGAUCAGUGAGGGGUAUGAUUUCAUGUGUUUGGUUUCACGACGGUCUGGUUCUGCGUCCAUGGGGAGAUGGCCAUGCUCAUGUAGCGGUUCAAAUUCGGCGCCGCGCAAUGCGCGAUAGAGCGUUAUUGUGUUAUGCUGCUACCCGGUGUGCCACACAAGCCUCUGUGACCUCUCCUUGCUGUUGUCAUCAGCGUCGUCGGCAACGCCCUUGACGGCGAAGUGGCCGUGAGCUUCGUUACCAUCUUUCCUAGCUAAACCCCUAUAGCCCAAAAGUCCAUAUUGGCAAAAUAAUAUUACUGAAUCUGCUAUGUGAUAUGAUUUCUUUAUCUAACAAAUUCAUGUAUAUGUUACUAUCGUAGGGCUACAGUCUGACAGAACCAUCUGGUUGUAUGGCCACGAUGGCUUGGCUGGAGGAGAGUCCAUGGCGUACGAUUCCAUAAGAAAUCUGGCUUAGAUCCAUCUACCAUUGAGGAGGUUGGGCUGGGUCAACGAGCCAAGCCCUGGAUCUGGGCCACUCAUCAUGAAAGGGUCACUAUUUUGGGCAUACAAUAAUUUUAGCAAGACAAGAAGUAAGCGUCAUUGACCUAUGAGGAUUCAGUUUCAAGAGAAGAACGCAAAAUCUAUAACCUCCCCAGUUCCUCUGUUUGCAAAUAUGUCUAUUGGAAAACUUUUCAGCAACCUUGAAAAGCUGGUGAAUCUCGCACCACCCCUCGUCGUCACCUGCCACCCCAAUGGCCGGAUCCCGUGGCCGCCGGUCGACGCCAUCCAUUCGCAGUGCGGAUCCGCGCUGCCGCCGCCACGAGCGAAGCGUGGGUGCGUCCUCCUCACUCCGCCACCACGAUGUCGCGCCCCCCUCCGACGGGCUCGCCGGCUUCCCCGAUCUCCCCGCGCCGCCACCGCCGUAGAGGAAGUACCUUGGCGUCCGACAGCAGGCGUUGAGGACGUGGGUGUCCGAAAUCAUGGAUCAGGAGACCCACAAGAAGCAUUGUGUGGGCCCUUUUCACACCGUCGUGCUCGCCGCAAAGGAGUACAAUCGGUGGCAGCUCCGGCUGCACAGCGCCGCUGCCUUUCCUGAACUUUGCGUUUGUGGAGGGUCCUUUGCAGCCUCCACCGCCGCGGGGGGUGGUGACAGGAGCUAUGGGUACGGAGGACCGGGAGGAGAGUGAGCGCAUUGCGUCGGAGGCCGCCGACAAGGAGUACAUGGCGGACCUCCACCGCAGGUACCAUGAGCUGGUGGUGCUGGAGCGCAAGCUCUUCGUGGAGGCGAAGCGCGGGGUCGACGGCGAGGCAUCAUCCUCUCGGACGACGAGGAGGACGGCGAUGCAGAGGACGACGAGGACUUCAACUUAAAGAGUUGCGGCGAAUCUUCCCCGACUGCGGCGACGACGACACAGGGCCAGACCUGGUGGGCGGUGGGAUUUCCCCGGCGGAUUGGCUCGCCCUCUACAAGAUUGACGAUGUUUAGUUUUAGCUGGAGUUCAUAUUUGGGUUUAACUUCAAGUUCAUGUUUAGGUCUAAAAACUAGAUUAUGUUUUAUGUACAUUAUGUGUCGAAUUCCGGUUGCUUAAAUUGAAUCUAUGUUGAACUUAUAAAA
Long non-coding RNA from Triticum aestivum (bread wheat), 3154 nucleotides. RefSeq lists it as uncharacterized. The record is from RefSeq and is a predicted model, not a curated record. The transcript has 3 exons. Lineage: Eukaryota; Viridiplantae; Streptophyta; Magnoliopsida; Poales; Poaceae.